Molecule: long non-coding RNA, 4176 nt
Filed under: Homo sapiens (human)
Lineage: Eukaryota; Metazoa; Chordata; Mammalia; Primates; Hominidae
Description: HSALNT0294131
Source: RNAcentral
CCCCCCGAAGUUCUGGGACUAUAGGUGUGUGCCACUGUGCAUGACCAAUUUGUCAUUUUACAUCAGCUAUAGUUUAUAUCUGGACCUCCUAAGCUUGUGUCUUGGUAAGAUGCACUAUAGCCCCCCCGUUAAAAGGCAGUCGUGGUGCAGGCAGUUUGGGUGUGCUCAUUGAAUAGGGAGCCAGCUAGAGGGAUCAAUACCUAAAAAAUUGUAGGUGCUCAGCAAACAUUGGUUUAAGUUAAAUGUUUAACUUAUUUGGGAAGACAAACUUUUAAUCUGUGUUUUUGUAUAUAAAUAUUCUCAUAUGUAUAUCCUCCUAAAUGUAUUUCUUCUUUGAGAGCUGCAAAUAGAAAAGAACUCACUCUAAUAAAAGCUAACAUUAUAGUUUUAAUUCUUGGAAAGUUAGCAUCACAGUUUAAUUCUUGGAGGAUAUUAAUUUGCCAACACCCCAUAUAGACCUAAAAUGUAGGAGUUUCAUAUUCUCAGGAAUAAAAAAAAUCUAUAUCCUCAAACAUAUGCAGUGCUUUGCUGAACUGAAUGAGCAUUUCUUACUUAUUAUGUAUUUAACCAUAUUUUAGAAGUGGGCCUCAGGUCUACUUAUCAUAUUUCCAUCUGUGUAGUCAUUACAUAUGCAUCCUCCCACAGCAUACAUUUCUUUGAUAUCUACCAUUCUAAAUUACGAUUUGAGAUUCAUAUUUUAAAAACAUAUAAGGUAACAAUUGUGACCAUAAUAAUGAUUGUAAUUUUCUUCCUGCAUAGGUUUUUAUAACCAUUUCUGUUAGUGUGACUUUUAAGACAAUACUUUUAAGAACAUUUUCCUCAUUAUAAAAGUAGUGUGUGCUCACUGUAGAAAAUUAGGAAAAUACAUAAGUAUAAUAAAAACUAUAUUAGGAUCAUACUGUAUGUGCUGCUGUAAUCCUGCUUUCUCUUUCACUUAAAAAUAUAUUAUGGAAGCAUUUUACAUGCACCUUUUAAUUCUUCUAAACGUGCUUCUCUUUGAAAUGGCCACGUAGGAUUUUCAGGAGUAAAUACCAAUUUUGUCAAUUUGCUAUUUUAGAACUUUCAAACAAUAAAAUCAGAAUCCAUGUUGAUGACAAACUGAAGAACUCAUGGGGGCCAAUGCUGGUAGUCAAGGACUUUUCUCUCAAACACAAAAUGUUGCAAUACCAUAAGAAACAAGUCAAAGCAAGGGAAGACCCCAAAUUCAGCACCCACCCUUUAUUCUGUGUGUUGACACAAAACAUUGAUGAAAGCAAGUGAAGAGUGAGCCUCCUCAUAUUGUCCUCUGUGUAAUAGAACCCACACCAUUGUAUAAGCAGUAAUGACUUCUUUGGCCGUAACUUAAAGACAUCCUAUUUACACUAUGGUCCUUUUUUCAGUUGUGAAUAGAGUGCAUUUAAAUUACAAACUUGGAAGGAAGAGGUAAAAGGAUUACCAAGUGUGAGAGAUGAAUGACAAAAAGCAGUAAAUCCUAUGCGAUCAGAAGGAUAAGUCUCACAGUUCAUCUGACAUAAGAGAUGGAUUACAAUGGCUCUGAAGUGGAAGACAGUUUACUUAGAAAUUUAGCAGUAAUUUGCAUUUAAGGAAUGCAUUAGUGUAUUCACAUAUACAGUUUCAUCAUUGGAUGGUUAACAGGAAUAUAUGGUAUUUGUUUGUGAUUUUAUUGAAUAUGAUGGGUUUUUUUUCAUCAUUCAGGGAAAAUCUGCUUUCCUCAGACUAUUGGCUGCCAUAACCACCAUCAGCCAUUAAAUGACGUAGUGAUGCUGUAUUGACACUGUCCUGUGUAUCUUUCUCUUUGUGGCUCAUUCUGCCCUAGAAAAAUAUCUCUAAGGGGCAGUGCCAGAAUUAACCCCUGCACACUGAUCAACAGAAACUUCUUCUAGAAAUAACUAAGUCUGUCAACCUUUCAAAUAUUUAACUCAUGCAAAGACAUUCAUGGAGAAAUACAAGAGGGAAAUCAUUCUCUUAUAAAAUGGUUAGGACAUCCUGAGUUUCUUUGAAGGAACAAAUAUUGCUUAUGCUAUUUUCUCCUUGAAUUCACAUUAGAAGACACAAAUACAAAUAUAUAAUGUACAUAGUCUUUAACCUAAAAAAUUCUUUAGCACCACAUACCUCUAGAAGAGUAGAAGAGAUAUGGAUAGGAAAAUGGAGUCAAGAAACAAUAAAGACACCUGUCUCAGAAGUUUUCAGGUAUGGACUUAACCCGACUCAAGAACAUACGGUAAUGUCCACCCUCACCUCUCUUUCUUUGUGAUAGUCACUCAUCGUUUUCUGGGAUAAUGCUGGAAGUAGAACAAGGUUUAUUCUUUGCUUUUCUAUGAUGGCAAAUUUUGAAGUUUUAUAAUCCAAAAUGUGGACUUUCAUUCAUAAAUAGGGUUUUAGGAAUGAUGAUGUAAUUUCCAUGUAGCAUCGCCCUAGGAGUAAUGAGAUGCCAUUACUGUAUUAUGGCUACUAACAAUGAUGAGAAGGAGACUUAGAACUGAGCCAGUAAGUAUUUAGAAAACACAAUGCAUUUUACCAAAUCUAAGACAUGCAUUUUUUCAUUUUUAAUACCUCUGAAUCAGUUUGUCUUACAAUUGAUUAUAUCGUCAAGUUACCAGAUGCUGAAUGUGAAAAAGUUUUAGUAAUAUUUUAAACAACAUAUUUUCCUUAUAUUUUCUUGUUUAUUGUAUUAAUAAACAAUGUAUGAUAGCAUCUUAAAUGUGAUGAAAUAUAGAGCUGUGCUUUUAAUUUGUAAUAAAUGAAGGUAAAAUUAUUCACUGUUUUGGUAGUACUUAUAACUGAUAUUCAAAUAUAUCAACAUAUACCAUCUCCAAAACUCCCCUAGACAAAGAAAACACAUUGUCUUGGAAAGACGUUCCACAAAAUGAAAUUGAAAAUCUCAUCCUGAUUCUGUUUAGAAACUUACUUUCUCAAAUCUAACUAAUGGGGUAUUGGGCCAGGUAGAUUAGUGAAUUCCACACAUAAUCCCCCCAAACUCAAUUUAUUCAUUAAAUUCACUUCUUCUUCCUCUACGAAAUGGAUUCCUAAGGCUAGAGGACUAACCAGCUAGAUCAAUUUAUUACCUUUUCUUACCUUUCCUUUCUGAUAGUCAAUAAUGAAAGAAAUGCACAAGUCAGAAAGAAGCAGUAACACAAGGGCCCAGAUUAUCCCUAAAUGGAAAAACCAUCCCUAGAUAACAGAGAGCCCGCUGUAGCUUUAAAUCUUUCUAUAGGAUUCAGUUCAAAAUAUUGGGGUAGAAUAUAGAUACCAUAUAUGUAUUAUGGAUAUGCAUUGUAUGUAUAUGUGUGUAUAUGCACAGUAGGCACACACAUAUUUAAUUACACAGUCACAUGUGUUAAAAAGGCUUUGACCACAAUGUUCUGAAAACCACUCUUAAGAAGCAAGAAUGUGCAUGUUAAAGUUACUUUCUGGGUUAACAGAGAUGAGGAGAAAAGUUAUUGGGGUUUGCGAAUUUAUUUUAAAUACAUUCCUUAAAAAUACCCACUGACCUACAUUUAUUGAAAGAAAAACAGUCAACUACAAAUGUAAUUGUUAUCCUGUCAAGAAUUUAUUAAUAGACAGGCUGAUGUCAUCUUUGUUUAAAUGCUCUAAGUUGACCGAAUUUCAUUUACAUUAAUGGAUGGAAAGUCCUUUUCUUACUUGUCCAACAAACUGGAGACAAAGUGCCUGCCAAUGUUUUAAUUUCUUUUUCAUGUUCUAGUUAGAGAGUGAGAAGAAUGCUUUCACUCCACAGUGUCAUGAAUAUGAUAAUCUAUGGAAAUCACGGGAAAGCAGAUGAUCACAGGGUACGUGAGGUGGAGUCCAUGAGUGGAGUCUUUUAAAGGACAUAGGAUACCUCUCUUAGUAGUGGAAGAGAAGACAGAGGGUGAAAGUGCAGACAAUGUGAUGCCACCUAGGCAUAAACCCUAAGGAAUUCUAAUUGUGAAUUUGAAAACAAAACAGAUCAUAUCACUGGGAGGGACCUCAUAGAUCAUGUAGUCAAACCCCCUCAUGUUACCGGUGAGAAAACUGAGACACAGAGGGAGUCAUCAGGCUGCCAUAGGUCACAAAACCAGCUGACAGCAAAGUGAAGAUCAGAGCCCCAUCUCCUAAUUCCCAAGUGAGUGCUGUUUCCAAUAUGCCACAUUACCUCCCCCAGCAAGAUGCCUCCCAUGGGGCAUUGCUUCUUGAAGA